RNAcentral lists this ribosomal RNA (591 nucleotides) under uncultured bacterium. Its description in RNAcentral is "bacterial SSU rRNA". It matches the Rfam family "Bacterial small subunit ribosomal RNA", at positions 28 to 638 of the family's 1533-position model. The record is from RNAcentral.
GAUAAACGCUGGCGGCGUGCAUGAGACAUGCAAGUCAAACGGACGAUCAGGGCUUGCUCUGAUCGUUAGUGGCGGACGGCUGAGUAACGCGUGGGUGACCUGCCCCGAAGUGGGGAAUAACUGCCCGAAAGGGUGGCUAAUACCGCAUGUGGUGGUGCGUUCGUUCGCACCAGUAAAGCCGCAAGGCGCUUCGGGAGGGGCCUGCGUCCGAUUAGCUCGUUGGUGGGGUAACGGCUCACCAAGGCGACGAUCGGUAGGUGGUCUGAGAGGACGAUCACCCAGACUGGGACUGAGACACGGCCCAGACUCCUACGGGAGGCAGCAGUCGGGAAUUUUGCUCAAUGGACGAAAGUCUGAAGCAGCAACGCCGCGUGAGGGAUGAAGGCCUUCGGGUUGUAAACCUCUUUUAUCAGGGAAGAUAAUGACGGUACCUGAUGAAUAAGUCACGGCUAACUACGUGCCAGCAGCCGCGGUAAUACGUAGGUGACUAGCGUUGUCCGGAUUUACUGGGCGUAAAGAGCGCGCAGGCGGUCGAUUUAGUCGAGUGUGAAAGCCCCCGGCUCAACUGGGGAGGGUCACUCGAUACUGAUC